Molecule: long non-coding RNA, 1175 nt
Organism: Meriones unguiculatus (Mongolian gerbil)
Lineage: Eukaryota; Metazoa; Chordata; Mammalia; Rodentia; Muridae
Exons: 4
Source: RefSeq, a predicted model, not a curated record
UUAUAAAAUACAUUACUGGUCCAUAGAACUUAAUGUUCAUAUCAUGAAAUUAAGGAGAAUUCAGACUCUGUUCUUCAUUCUUGACCACUUUGUCUUAUACCAACAAAGCGUCUGGGGUACUAAAGUGACAAACUCUAGAGGAUGAGAACUUUGGAUCUGCUGUGAUUACACAAAGAAUGAGGGGCGGAGUCAGCACCACGAUUCACGUGCUUGAUUUUGACAAAAUAAAAGCAUAAUAAUGGCCUGAUGGAUGAGUGAAACUCAAAGGGCGUGUACAUUUCUACAUUUUCCUCUCUACAUUUUCAUCUACUGAAGAAAGAUGAGAAGCUUCAUAAAAGAAAGGUUCACAAUGAAAGACCAGAAUGUGCAGAAAAGAAAUGUGAAAGUCUCCAAAGUUGAACCACAGUAAACGGAUCUGUGAUGAACACAACACGAUGAAAUCAAGCACAAGAAAAAAAAAAAAUUGAUGCAAUCAAGAGGUUCAGUAAACACCAGAUGUAUGAGGCUGCUGCUAGCAUAUGGCGCACGUUUUUACAGUAAACAUUUUUAUAGGUAAAAGAUGUUCCGGGCCAAAGGUUGACUCUCCGACGCUAGCUGCAAGCUCAGAGCUAGCUCUUCAUAGUAAAACACAUGAGGUAUUCCAGCCCGCCUGACCUGCCAAUCUCAUCACCAAAAGGAGGUGCCAUCUUUGCGAAUAUGAUAAUUAGUCAUAAACAGACAUUUUUGUUAUUUCUAGUCAGUUCUCUGGAUGAAAACUCGUGCAGGCCAAAAAUAAUCCCAUUUCUUGUGGAAUGUGGGUGUUUACUUCUUAGACACCGUAUCUGACACCAGUGGGUUUUCAAGCCAGGGGAUAGUAUGUUGGGUCUAAUCUGUUAUGAGACUGUUUGAGCGUAGUUCAGCAUGCCUCACAGAUCACAGCCUUUAUUUUCCCCAUGCCAGAAUGCCUGUAGAUGGUGUUUAUUUUCAUGGAAAUUUGCUCACUAGCUAUUAAUAAGUAGGGGCUAUAAAAAGACAAUUGUUCUUCUGGAACAGGGAAACUGAGGAUUCUCAUUUUAGACACCCCUUGACAUUUCCUUUUCAUUGUAACCUUGGAUUAUUUAGCUAUUCCAUGCUGGAACAUUUUAUGCAAAGCGAGAAAAAUGCUACUUUUAUGAGCAGGCUAUAAAUUCCUAACU